This is a long non-coding RNA of Takifugu rubripes (torafugu), 1821 nucleotides long. The record is from Ensembl. NCBI's taxonomy places the organism in Eukaryota, Metazoa, Chordata, Actinopteri, Tetraodontiformes, Tetraodontidae.
AUGGAUGAGGAUUUCAAUGUUGAAUAUUUUAAUCAAGUACCGAUUGUUUUACAAAUAGCUGUUGAUCAAUUAAGUGAUGAGGAUUUCAAUGUUGAAUAUUUUAAUCAAGUACCGAAUGCUUUACAAAUAGCUGUUGAUCAAUUAAGUGAAAUUCCAAUCUCCAUUCCAAUAAAUUUACAUUUUACAGAGCAAAAUGAAAACGUCCUAGAACUUGACACCUUACAACUCAUAAAUGAUGCCCUCGAAAACCUUAAUGCAGUUAAUGCAGUAGAGUUUGAAAAUCAUUCUCCUUCAUCAGCUCUCCACACGCAAAGUGAUCAUGUCUUACACGCGGUAACAAUCAGAUCAGAGACGGAUUCAGCCGAGACACAAUCGGCUCUUCCUAACCCCCCUCCUGAACCUUCAUCAGCUCUCCACACGCAAAGUGAUCAUGUCUUACACGCGGUAACAAUCAGAUCAGAGACGGAUUCAGCCGAGACACAAUCGGCUCUUCCUAACCCCCCUCCCGAACAGGAUGAGAGGCCAGGAGAAGGGGGGUCAGAGAGCAGCCCCUCAGCCCAUCUUUCUCCUCAGCAAGGGGGAGGAGGGCUAGGAGAAAAUCCAUCCGAUCUCUCUCCUGAGCGGGGUGAGAGGUUUUUUAAUGAUUUUAACACAUGGAGAACAAGACGCUCCUUUAACAUUCCCACUCGGGGAAAUGUGCCUGACAUUGCAACAUUCUAUCGAGAUGUAACAGGGGUUAUCAGCGAAUUGGUGGAUGUUGCCAGACGACAUAGUAGUCGCAAUGAUUUAAUACAGUUGGAGGUGGUGGGUGAAAACGUACACAAUCAUGUUACAGUUGCUGUGGAUGAACAAGGUGAAAAUAUUCUACCGGCUUUUAAUGGAAUGCUAGAUCGGAUUGUGCAGUCAAACGGUAUCAUUUCAUCGGAUGAGAAUAUAGAAUUCAUCCUUCACGUGGUGCAGAACCCAGGAGGAGGUGCCAAACGUAAGAUGGAGAAAACUCUAGACUGUGAAAUCAUUGACAAAAAAAGACGUCACUUAUUUAUCGUAGACAACAGAGACAACCAGCUUUGCUUCGCCAUCAGUCUAGCUCACGUUAUCUACCCGAAACUUACUGAAAGAGAAUGCCUUGAUAUUGCGAGGAAGUUGCAGCAUCAGGCUGGUUUAAAUGAUGAGACCCCCGUCACUUUCAGUGACAUUGGUAAAUUUGAAAAUAUUCUGGGGCGUAAAAUUGUUGUGUUUUACAGAACAUGCCACAGUAAACCCCUCUCACAUUAUGAGACAAAAUUCUCUGAUCGUUCCAAUCAGUUGUUUCUCUUUUUACUACAAAAUCACUAUUAUGGGAUAAUUAUUGUUACAAGACUUUUAAGCACCCCUAUACCCACUUUUGUAAAGGUUACUGCGCAGUGUGCAACGAUCCUGCCUGCCCCACAGAAGGGUUCAACACAGUGGUUUGCUCUGACUGUAACAGAACGUGUCGCUCACCCUCUUGUUUCACCAGACACAAAUUGGUCGGUUCAAGCAGAAAGUCCAGCCUCUGCGACCAAAUCAAAAAAUGCGCACGAUGCGAACUAUACUACAGUGUCAAUUUGUCGUUAGACGAUGCAAAGCAUCGCUGUGCGGUGAAAAAAUGUAAAAUCUGUGGUGAAAAACUGCAGAGCGACUCUAAAGUCGAUCAUAGUUGUUACAUUCCUACCCUCCAACCAGACAUCUCACAUCCUGAUUUGGUUUUUUAUGAUUUUGAAACAUUUGUGGGUCAAAAUGGAGAGCAUGUUCCUUUUUUAGUGCAUACAAAAACAUCCAAAGGUGAAGAGAAGGCGUUUU